CCAUCCACCAUCCUUCCCACCACCUCUCCCACCGUCCUCCCACCUGCACCUCCGGCCAUCCCAGCCCUCUCGCAGCCCCGGUCCCUCUUCCUGAGCUGGAGCCCCAGUCCUUCUCCUUCUUCUUGCAGGGGCAGGUGGCCUGGCUCCUGGCGUGGGUGGCCUGGCUCCUGGCAUAGGUGGCCUGGCUCCUGGUGUGGGUGGCUUGGUUCCUGGUGUGGGUGGCCUGGCCCCCGGCAUUGGAGGUGUCCCAGGAGUCGGAGGUCCGGCAGCAGCAGCAAAAGCAGCAGCCAAGGCAGCCAAGUACGGUGCCGGUGUCGGAGGGGUGCCAGGCGCGGUGCCCGGUGGUCCCGGUGUGCCAGGAGUGACACCCGGCGUUGGCGGCGUCCCUGGGUUGGUGCCGAGCGUGGGGGUACCCGGUGCCGGCGUUCUCCCCGGGGCAGGCAUCCCCCAAGUAGGGGUGCAGCCAGGUGCUAAGCCUCCCAAGUUCGGAGUUCCCGGAGCUGGAGUCCCAGGGGUUGGUGGCAUCCCAGGUGGCCUCGGAGUUGGUGGCCUCGGAGCUGGUGGCCUUGGUGCUGGUGGCCUUGGUGCUGGGCUCUUGUUUCCAGGAGCUGCUGGAAAACCUCCCAAGCCAGGGCCUGGAGUUCCCGGCUUUGGCGUGUCACCGAUAUUUCCAGGUGGGGUCGGCGGCCAGCUGGGAUUUGGCGGUGAGUGCGCCCCAGCCAGGCGGGUUGGGGACAGUGGGCGGGGGGUCACCUCCCCAGGGGGCACCCGUGGAGCCCCCCACCCCGCUCACCCUCUCCGUCUUGUCCCCGCAGGGAAGCCCCCCAAGACCUUCGGAGGAGCCCUCGGGGCCCUGGGCUUUAGAGGUGAGCGCCGCCGGGUCCCCCGCCACCCCUGCCCGGCUUCCAAGCCCCCUGCCGGGGCCCGGGGGGGCUGACCCGGUGUCCCCCCCCCCAACCCAGGUGGAGUCGGCUGCGCACAAGGGAAAUACUGCGGGAGGAAGCGGAAGUAACCGCCCGCCCCACCGAUAACCUCAUGAACUUUGGUGCUACUGCAUGGUCCAGAAUGUAAAUCCCCAGCCCAGCUGAGACCCCCCUGGCCCCCCGGCCCCACGCUCCCGGGAGGGACCCCACGGUGCGGCAGCAGCGCCGGGGCCUGCCCCCACCCCGGGAAUUCUCCCCCCCGACCCCCCCAGGGAGCGCGGAAUAAACUGCGGGGAGCAGCUGUCCCCCUUGGUGCU
Molecule: long non-coding RNA, 1240 nt
Filed under: Anas platyrhynchos platyrhynchos (common mallard)
Lineage: Eukaryota; Metazoa; Chordata; Aves; Anseriformes; Anatidae
Description: lncRNA (ENSAPLG00000019585.1)
Source: RNAcentral